Drosophila ananassae is the source of this 1024-nucleotide long non-coding RNA. RefSeq lists it as uncharacterized. Lineage: Eukaryota; Metazoa; Arthropoda; Insecta; Diptera; Drosophilidae. The record is from RefSeq and is a predicted model, not a curated record. The transcript has 3 exons.
GUUUCGCCUUUGCGUGUGAGUCUCUCUUCUUGUCCCUCCGUGCGAUUGCCGAGUGUGUGAGUGUGUGUGUGUGAGUGCCACAGUGUCUGUGUUUUUGUGAAAGCCAGGAUUUCAUUGCCCAGCUCCGCCCGCAAAAAGUCAAGUGAAGAGGUGGCGGCGAGCCGAGCGAUCCUGAUCCGCUGCUGAUCCUGAUCCACCCGGAUCCUGACCCGGUCAGUGAGUGUGCGAGUGCGAAGGGCUCAUUGAGGAGGAGAGCAAAAGUGUCAAAAAUAAAAAUCCCCGAAAUCAUAUGCAAUUUGUGCGAUGAUCUCGUCGAAGUUGCCGUGAAAGUUUCGCGACGAACUCGAUCUCCAAUGUGAGUGCAAAAUAGAAUUACGUCAGUCCGCCGAAGAGAAAAGAAUAUUUUUUUGGCUUACAAGAAGCAAGAAACGAGCCAAAAGCAACCACCAACCAUCGGACCAUCAGCCUCCUUAUACUCAUCAAACGCACUGUACUUUGAGUCCAAUAUGUAUCUCAGACUCUGGCAACUCGAAAUUUAUGCAUAUGGAAUCGUAUUUUCGCCUCGAUUGGCCCGCUCCGGCUUUGUGGCUCCGGCUAAUGAAGAUGGGACAAUAAUAAUUUUUAAUAGGUUUUACUAUUUUGGCUAAGAUCAGCUUACGCGCACAGAGAACGCCAGAGACAACGCCAGAGGUGGUGCGGUGGCGGGGUGCUCAAGCUCAAGGCGGAUGGACUGGCAAUAUUCAAAUUGAAUCGCUUUUAUCUCUGUUUUGUCACUAAAUUGGCAACUGAAGUCGAACACUAAAUACGAAAUCCGAACUGAAUGGUAUCGGAAUGGGCACUGGCUAUAUGCGCAAGUAACAGCCAAUGAGAUCAUGAUCCAUAUAUAGUUACCACUCGGACUUCUCACUCUCCGGACGAAUUAAGGCAGCUUGAUUAGCAUUUAUCGUUCUCACUGUAAUUGUUUUUAUUUUUUCUUUUAUCCUAAUCUGAUUUAGAUUUGAUUUGCGGUUGAUUUUUGAUAUUA